RNAcentral lists this ribosomal RNA (465 nucleotides) under uncultured bacterium. RNAcentral's name for it is "partial 16S ribosomal RNA". It matches the Rfam family "Bacterial small subunit ribosomal RNA", at positions 339 to 795 of the family's 1533-position model. The record is from RNAcentral.
CUACGGGAUGCUGCAGUGGGGAAUAUUGGUCAAUGGGGGAAACCCUGAUCCAGCAAUGCCGCGUGUGUGAAGAAGGCCUGCGGGUUGUAAAGCACUUUCGGUUGGGAGGACUGCUUCUAGCACUAAUAUUGUUGGAAGUUGACGUUACCUUCAGAAGAAGCACCGGCUAACUCCGUGCCAGCAGCCGCGGUAAUACGGGGGGUGCAAGCGUUAAUCGGAAUUACUGGGCGUAAAGCGCGCGUAGGCGGCUAGAUCAGUCGGGUGUGAAAGCCCCGGGCUUAACCUGGGAACUGCAUCCGAUACUGUCUAGCUUGAGUACAGGAGAGGAGAGUGGAAUUCCACAUGUAGCGGUGAAAUGCGUAGAUAUGUGGAGGAACACCAAUGGCGAAGGCAGCUCUCUGGCCUGAUACUGACGCUGAGGUGCGAAAGCGUGGGGAGCAAACAGGAUUAGAUACCCCCGUAGUC